Molecule: ribosomal RNA, 251 nt
Filed under: uncultured prokaryote
Description: partial 16S ribosomal RNA
Rfam family: Bacterial small subunit ribosomal RNA
Source: RNAcentral
ACGUAGGGUGCGAGCGUUAAUCGGAAUUACUGGGCGUAAAGCGUGCGCAGGCGGCUUUGCAAGACAGAGGUGAAAUCCCCGGGCUCAACCUGGGAACUGCCUCUGUGACUGCAAGGCUAGAGUACGGCAGAGGGGGAUGGAAUUCCGCGUGUAGAAGUGAAAUGCGUAGAUAUGCGGAGGAACACCAAUGGCGAAGGCAAUCCCCUGGGCCUGUCCUGCCGCUCGUGCACGAAAGCGUGAGGAGCAAAAAG